RNAcentral lists this ribosomal RNA (271 nucleotides) under uncultured prokaryote. RNAcentral's name for it is "partial 16S ribosomal RNA". It matches the Rfam family "Bacterial small subunit ribosomal RNA", at positions 524 to 794 of the family's 1533-position model. The record is from RNAcentral.
UACGUAGGUGGCGAGCGUUGUCCGGAUUUACUGGGCGUAAAGGGAGCGUAGGCGGACUUUUAAGUGAGAUGUGAAAUACCCGGGCUCAACUUGGGUGCUGCAUUUCAAACUGGAAGUCUAGAGUGCAGGAGAGGAGAAUGGAAUUCCUAGUGUAGCGGUGAAAUGCGUAGAGAUUAGGAAGAACACCAGUGGCGAAGGCGAUUCUCUGGACUGUAACUGACGUUGAGGCUCGAAAGCGUGGGGAGCAAACAGGAUUAGAUACCCUGGUAGU